RNAcentral lists this small nuclear RNA (189 nucleotides) under Engraulis ringens (Peruvian anchovy). RNAcentral's name for it is "U2 snRNA". It matches the Rfam family "U2 spliceosomal RNA". Rfam says of the family: U2 is a small nuclear RNA (snRNA) component of the spliceosome (involved in pre-mRNA splicing). Complementary binding between U2 snRNA (in an area lying towards the 5' end but 3' to hairpin I) and the branchpoint sequence (BPS) of the intron results the bulging out of an unpaired adenosine, on the BPS, which initiates a nucleophilic attack at the intronic 5' splice site, thus starting the first of two transesterification reactions that mediate splicing. The record is from RNAcentral. Lineage: Eukaryota; Metazoa; Chordata; Actinopteri; Clupeiformes; Engraulidae.
AUCGCUUCUCGGCCUUUUGGCUAAGNNCAAAGUGUAGUAUCUGUUCUUAUCAGCUUAAUAUCUGAUAUGCCCCCUACCCGGGGGCUUCAUAUUAAAUUGAUUUUUGGAACAGGGAGCCGGAAUAGGGGCUUGCUCCGUCCGCUCCACGCAUCGUCUAGGUAUUGCAGUACAUCCUAGAACGGUGCACUU